RNAcentral lists this long non-coding RNA (402 nucleotides) under Phascolarctos cinereus (koala). RNAcentral's name for it is "lncRNA (ENSPCIG00000011016.2)". Lineage: Eukaryota; Metazoa; Chordata; Mammalia; Diprotodontia; Phascolarctidae. The record is from RNAcentral.
CUGAAGUAGAAUCUGGUUCUUCUGAAGCGGUUGAGCUUAAAAAGGAAAAGGAGAGGAGGGGAAAAAGGAAAGAAUUAGAAUGUCUGCCUGAAGAACAGGUGAAUUAUCCAUUUCCAGGGAAGAAAAGGAUGCAGUCCUCAAGCCAAUUCUAUAACUGCAUGAUGGGGAAGAAAUUUCAACUUACCCAAAUAGACAGGUCCCAGGAUGCAGUGCAGCACUGCAGUAUCAACUAAGGUCUCCAACUGUAUGACAAAGAGUUCUCUGUCAAGGCUGGUGAAACCAUGCAGAUGCUUCCUCUAACUCCUGCUCCAAGGACUCUGAGUGCUAACUCUGUAUCUACAGAGCUAUUAGAGAGAAAUAACCUUGAAUAAAGCUACUAGAGUUUCAAAUUGUAGGGUAAAG